Non-coding RNA from Solanum lycopersicum (tomato), 532 nucleotides. The record is from RefSeq and is a predicted model, not a curated record. Lineage: Eukaryota; Viridiplantae; Streptophyta; Magnoliopsida; Solanales; Solanaceae.
UACGGGACCUUCAUCUACAGUGGAGGAGAGUCCCACGACGAUCAUAGAGGAUGUUGUUCCUACAGUUAAUGAGGAUCCCGAUGUUACACAGAUUCAUACUACGGGACCUUCAUCUACAGUGGAGGAGAAUCCCACGACGAUCAUAGAGGAUGUUAUUCCGACAGUUAAUGAGGAUCCCGAUGUUACACAGAUUUACGUUUAUUAUGCCAGUGGAUGAUAUGCCGCAAACACCCGGAAGAAAAAAACUUGUUAAAAGAAUUGUAAAGAAUGUGAACAUAAAGGAUCUUCCGGCCAAAAAGAGGAAGAGGAACAAUGAAGAUGAAGAUGGAUAUACGGGACUUAGACCGCGAGAUGUUUUACGAAUUUCAAAAAAGGGUUGUGGAACAUAAUAUUAUUAUAUUUGUGUAUGAAUCUUUUUUCGAGGAUGUAUAGUAAAUUAUUCUAAUCAUAUAUAGUUUGAUUUUGGUGUAUGUAUCUUUUUUUGUGGUGUAUAGUAUUAUUGAUACAAGAAUAAAUUAACACAAUUAAACAU